This 378-nucleotide unclassified non-coding RNA is filed under the name plant metagenome. RNAcentral describes it as "partial contains 5.8S ribosomal RNA, internal transcribed spacer 2, and large subunit ribosomal RNA". The stretch from base 1 to 105 matches the Rfam family "5.8S ribosomal RNA", at positions 50 to 154 of the family's 154-position model. The record is from RNAcentral.
GAAAUGCGAUAAGUAAUGUGAAUUGCAGAAUUCAGUGAAUCAUCGAAUCUUUGAACGCACCUUGCGCUCCUUGGUAUUCCUUGGAGCAUGCCUGUUUGAGUAUCAUGAAAUCUUCAAAGUAAAUCUUUUGUUAACUCAAUUGGUUUCUACUUUGGUAUUGGAGGUCUUUGCAGCUUCACACCUGCUCCUCUUUGUUCAUUAGCUGGAUCUCAGUGUUAUGCUUGGUUCCACUCGGCGUGAUAAGUUAUCUAUCGCUGAGGACACUGUAAAAGGUGGCCAAGGUAAAUGCAGAUGAACCGCUUCUAAUAGUCCAUUGACUUGGACAAUACUUUUAUGAUCUGAUCUCAAAUCAGGUAGGACUACCCGCCGAACUUAAGC